Molecule: ribosomal RNA, 418 nt
Filed under: uncultured bacterium
Lineage: Bacteria
Description: bacterial SSU rRNA
Rfam family: Bacterial small subunit ribosomal RNA
Source: RNAcentral
ACGCUGGCGGCACGCCUAACACAUGCAAGUCGAACGAAGUAGCAAUACUUAGUGGCAGACGGGUGAGUAACAUGUGGGUAUCUGCCCUUUGGCCUGGAAUAACACGAGGAAACUUGUGCUAAUACCGGAUAAGUCUUUACGGAGAAAGCUUUAUGCACCAUUGGAUGAGCCCGCACUUGAUUAGUUUGUUGGUAGGGUAAUGGCCUACCAAGACUGUGAUCAAUAGCUGAUUUGAGAGGAUGAUCAGCCACAUUGGGACUGAGACACGGCCCAAACUCCUACGGGAGGCAGCAGUGGGGAAUCUUGCACAAUGGAGGAAACUCUGAUGCAGCGAUGCCGCGUGAGUGAAGAAGGCCUUUGGGUUGUAAAGCUCUUUCGUCGGGGAAGAAAAUGACUGUACCCGAAUAAGAAGGUCCGG